Molecule: ribosomal RNA, 253 nt
Filed under: uncultured bacterium
Lineage: Bacteria
Description: partial 16S ribosomal RNA
Rfam family: Bacterial small subunit ribosomal RNA
Source: RNAcentral
UACAGAGGUCUCAAGCGUUGUUCGGAUUCAUUGGGCGUAAAGGGUGCGUAGGCGGCGCGGUAAGUCGGGUGUGAAAUCUCGGGGCUUAACUCCGAAACUGCAUUCGAUACUGCCGUGCUUGAGGACUGGAGAGGAGACUGGAAUUUAUGGUGUAGCGGUGAAAUGCGUAGAUAUCGUAAGGAAGACCAGUGGCGAAGGCGGGUCUCUGGACAGUUCCUGACGCUGAGGCACGAAGGUCAGGGGAGCAAACGGG